UUACCGAGUUCUAGGGGUCUUCGGACCUCUUCUCUCACACCCUAUGUGUACCUACCUCUGUUGCUUUGGCGGGCCGCGGUCCUCCGCGGCCGGCCCCCUAACCGGGGCUGGCCAGCGCCCGCCAGAGGACUACCAAACUCCAGUCAGUAAACGUAGCUGUCUGAUCAAAAGUUUAAUAAACUAAAACUUUCAACAACGGAUCUCUUGGUUCUGGCAUCGAUGAAGAACGCAGCGAAAUGCGAUAAGUAAUGUGAAUUGCAGAAUUCAGUGAAUCAUCGAAUCUUUGAACGCACAUUGCGCCCCUUGGUAUUCCGAGGGGCAUGCCUGUUCGAGCGUCAUUUCACCACUCAAGCUCUGCUUGGUAUUGGGCGCCGUCCUUCACCGGACGCGCCUCAAAGACCUCGGCGGUGGCGUCUUGCCUCAAGCGUAGUAGAAAACACCUCGCUUUGGAGGACGGGACGUUCGCUCGCCGGACGAACCUUCUGAAUUUUCUCAAGGUUGACCUCGGAUCAGGUAGGGAUACCCGCUGAACUUAAGCAUAUCAAUAAGCGGAGGAAAAGAAACCAACUGGGAUUGCCUUAGUAACGGCGAGUGAAGCGGCAAUAGCUCAAAUUU
This 615-nucleotide ribosomal RNA is filed under the name fungal endophyte. RNAcentral's name for it is "eukaryotic LSU rRNA". The stretch from base 185 to 338 matches the Rfam family "5.8S ribosomal RNA". The record is from RNAcentral. Lineage: Eukaryota; Fungi.